Molecule: long non-coding RNA, 33015 nt
Filed under: Phaseolus vulgaris (common bean)
Lineage: Eukaryota; Viridiplantae; Streptophyta; Magnoliopsida; Fabales; Fabaceae
Description: long non-coding RNA (PVUL_LNC003345)
Source: RNAcentral
GUCCCUGGGAGGGUUCCCAAGCAGGAAGAUGAACAAUGAUAUUACUUCCGUUGCGAACAACGGUGGAAGAGUGCAAUGCAUUCAGGUAAGAGAAGAUAUUUAUGUGAUAGGAAAAUGUGAAGAUUUGGAAGUUGGUUGGUUAGUUAGUUUGUUAACUGAAUUAUGAUGGAAAUGAAAUGAGUAGGUGUGGCCAACAGUUGGGAAGAAGAAGUUCGAGACUCUUUCGUACCUGCCACCCCUGACAAAAGAACAAUUGGCAAAGGAAGUAGACUACCUUCUUCGGAAAGGAUGGGUUCCGUGCUUGGAAUUCGAAUUGGAGGUGAAUUUGUUGAAUUGAAUUGAAAGGGUUAUUAUGGUUAAUUUAUGAAUGAAUGAAUGAAUGAAUGAAUGAUGUUGAUGUUUGUGUUUGAUGUUGAUGUGUGUUGAUAGCAUGGUUUCGUGUACCGUGAACACAACAAGUCACCUGGAUACUAUGAUGGAAGGUACUGGACGAUGUGGAAGCUGCCUAUGUUUGGGUGCACUGAUUCUUCUCAGGUGUUGAAGGAGCUUUACGAGGCUCAGACUGCUCAUCCCGAUGGUUUCAUCCGUAUCAUUGGAUUUGACAACGUUCGUCAAGUGCAGUGCAUCAGUUUCAUUGCCUACAAGCCACCAGGCUACUAAGUCUCCAAAAUUUCCAAAACAGUUCUAGCCACCCCACUUUGCUUGUUUGUACUUAAACUAAACUUUCAUUUCGUUUUUUCCAAUUUUGGUUUCUGUUUUCGGACUUCAUUGGAAAUGAAUGGAUGAGAACUAAUGAAUAAGCUGUUGUGUUGUGUUGUGUCAUUUUGUUCUAAAAUAACUUCAAGAACUCAAUUCUCCUUGCAUCCCCCUCUUGUGGGUUGAAAUUUACUUUCUAAUAAUUUAAUGUUUUUUCUUAAUGAUGUUUAACAGCAUAGUUGAGCUUGGCCUAACUUUGUCACACAUCUGAAUGUUCUACUUUAUACUUUAGUUCUCCAAGAAAUGAAGUUCAUUACUUAAAUUUAAGAACAUGUUGCUAGGAAGCUACUGAACUAAAUGAAUCCCAUAAUUCUUGGAAGCACAGAUAUUUUGUAUAGUAUAUAGCAACAAACAACUACCAAACCGUUUUGUUAAUUAUGUGAAAAGAAAGAGAUAUCAGAUUCAAUUUUUUGUUGGUUUCAGAAACUAUUCUUUCCAAGAAAUAGCCAGUAAACCAUUUUGAUUUUGCCAUUUCUAAUUCUCCUGACUGCAAUUUUCAAAUUAUGAUUUGGAAAACGCACAGAUAAACACAAUCAGAUUUGGUCAUGCUCUGGUAACAGUACAAUUUUUCUGGAAUUGUGAGAAUCUGAUACAUAGCUCGCGAUUAAUCUCAACAUGUUUGUAACAAGUUGGUAUGAAGUUUAGCGACUUGUGAGUAGUAACAGGUAACUUAUCUCAACACCUUUUAGGUUGCAUUGAUAAUGCUUGGACCCUUUUGAUAGUUACAUUUGUGAACAAGGAUACUAGAGAAGAAGAUAAGUUUCACCUCCUUUACUCUCGUGACCACAUCACACAUAUUCAAAGUCAAUAGAGAAUAUACAAAUCUAUGAGAUUUUAUUCAAAAUUUGUUUGUGAUGUGAAUACUUACCCUAGAAGCAAGUUUUGUCAAAUUUACUGUUUCAUAAUUUUUUUUUUUUAAUAUUAAUUCUUCAUCAAUCCAAUUCUUAAAUUGAAAAUUAAGUAGAUUAAAUAGGGGAACUUCAAUUAACAUUAUGUUAUCCCCAAUGGAAUUGAAUAUAGAUAAUUAUAAACUUAAUAUCUUAUAUUAUGCUGAAUUUGAAUAAUAUAGAUGCUGGCUUUGUAAAUGAUUCUGAACUCAAAUUCUAAUAAAAAUUCAGUUUGAUCCAUUUGAGUUGACAGUGAAUCUUUGUGUUUUUUUUAUUUGUUUUCAAAACAAAAUAUAUUUUACUAAAAUGGAAGUAAAAGAGAUUUUAACACAACGAAAAAAUUUAUCAAUCUAAUAUUUUUUAUUACAAAAAUAUUUAUAGUAUUUCACUGUGACUGUUUUUAUUGUCUGAAGAUCAUCACUCCACCAUAGUCAAUUAUUGUUAUUAGAGUAAUUAUUGUUGUUAUUAUAGUUACUAUUAUUUUAACAUAUCAUUAAAUUCCUUGAAGACCAUCAAAUCAGGGACCUUAGAGAUAGGAUUAUUAGAAUGGUGAUAUGUUCUCCAAUGCUAGGUGGGGUGAUUCUACAUGCGAGUCAAUUUUGGUAAGUCAAUUUUAAUAGAAAUGAUUUAAAUAGGAUGAAGUUUGAAUAUUUUAUUAGUUAUGUUUAAAAAUUUAUAAAUAUUUUUUUUAACUAUUUAAACUUAAUUUUAUAAAUAUUUAUAAAACAUAUUUUUAUGUCUGUCUUACUCAUGUUAGUAAAGAGGAGAACACAACUAACGGAUUAUAUUUGUGUUUAGAGUAAGUUUCUUACGUAUUUCUAUUUUUCUUGGGUUGGUUGCAUGUUUGGUAGUUUGUAUGUGUAGUUUUAUGGGAAAAUAUAAACUUUUGUUAGUCUAGAAUUUUUUGUUGACAUGAUUGAACUUCUGGUGUUAAAACAUGUUAGAGUUUUGUUCAGAAUAACUAGAAUUUUAGGUAAGGAAAACCAAUUAAAAUUAUCAGGUGAAAGAUUUGGACUGUGUUGAUGUGACUUGGUCACAAUGGACUUUGUCCAUGGAUAGUAUAUUGGUGAUGUGAAUUUAUUGAAUUGUUUUAUUUUGAUAGGUAAAAAUAAAUCAUAGUGAGAAUUAUGAGAUUAUGAUAGUGAUUUGUAACUAUGAUAAUUGUUUUGAUAACUUGUAUGUGUUAUCCCAUAAAAGUUCAUGUGGUGGAUCAAAGUAUAUACUUGAAAACUUGCUUAUGUUUAGUUGAAAUGGUUAUUAGUUUUAUAAUUGAAAUUAAAACCCAAAAAUGAAAAACCUAUUAUGAUUUUGAGAUGUUUGGAUUUAAUAAGCUUGUUGCAUGGGGAUAACUUCAACCAAUUUGAUGUUGAGUAGGAAAACUUUUAUACUUUACUUAUUUAUGAAGGUUAGAACAUGUUAGUUCUAGUUUGAUAAUUUGGCACAAUUCUUACGCAAGUUUGCAAGUCUUUCGUCGCUUAACAAAAAUUUUGCCAUGAGGAGGGUUCAAUUUAGGAUGAUUUCUACUCAAAUAAAAUCUCCUAAUAAAAAGAGUUCAAUACAAAUCAAUUUUCACGUGAACAAGGUUUCUAUUGCAUAAGUAAUGAAAAUUUCUGCUUAAGCUAAAAAGCUUAAAAAAUAAAAACAAAUAAAAAUUUUAAGGCUUUAAAAGGGUGUUUCUUUGAUUAAAAAAUAUAAUAUUGUAUUUAUAUAUUUUUAUAGGAAAUAUUAAAGUAUAUAAUUAUUUUAUUUGUUUUAUUUUAUUAGAUUAAGUAUGUUGUAUAUAAAUUGUAACAAUGAGUGAUCAGUUCCCAAGUGUAAAUUGAUGCGAUUUGAGGUUCAGGAUGUAAAUGUGAACAAGGUGUUUACCAAAGAGGUAACAUUAUGUGUUGUACAAUGAUUAAUGCACUCUUGAAUAUGACGGUGUUUUUAAAGGGAUCACUACUAUAAAAAGGUGUUUAGACUAUGAUUUUAAAGUCGUUAGGUGACGGUUUUAAAAUCGUAGUCUAUGAAGAUGUCGUCUAUAAUUAUUUAAUAUAGACAACGACUUUAGUCAUCAUCUAUAUUUUUUUUAUAUAUGUGACGAUUGUUGUCUGAAUCGUCGCCUAUUUUUAUCUUAUAGGCAACCAUUACUUGAUCAAUCGUCGCCCAACCUAUGACAUAUAAACAAUUUAGAGAGGGAAGCAUAGGUGAUGAUUGUUGUAUGCAUCGUCAUCUAUGUUGUUGUUGUGUAUGAAAAAAGACGUAUAUAGGCGACAAUUAUAGUUAACAUCAUUGCCUAUUAUGCCUUAUAGACUACAGUUUUGAAAAAAAUCGUCACCUAUGAUUGUUUAUUUAUUAAAAUACAGUUUGUUUAUUACGCUUCCUCCUCUUAUUUAACCUGUAUUGUUUAAAAUCCCAACCAGAUUCAAUAAUAAUGCAAAAAAACAUAUAAAUACACUAAUUCAUAUAAACCAAAACUAAAACUAAAUCAUAUAAACUAAAACUAAAACUAAACAUCAUUUAUCCUAGUGUUUUAAAAUCUAAUGAAGUAUGUGGCCCAAGCGUUCCUCACAUUGUCCAUUGAUUCUAAAUCCAAUGGUUGAGCAUCCAUAAAAUACUGCAUCACAUAAUAAGUUCAAAUUAGUCCAUAAACUACACACAUAGUUUUAUAUAAAAAAAAAUUGUUAAACAUGAGACCUAAUACCAAUCUUUGUCAAUUUCGGCCUUACCAUGACUGUCAUCCAUUGCAUUUAAUAGUCACAUUCAUACCCUCCCUUUUGUUUAUUGCACUACAAUCCAAUAUUAAAUAAAACUUAAUAAUGAUAUUUAUUUCACUUAGGAAAUUAAUAAUGAAAAUUAGAAAACCUUUAGGUGCAAUCAUGUAAGCUUCUAGAACUUUGCACUUGGUUGACCUCUCAAUAUUUUAUAUCCACUAUAUGAGCUACAUAAUAAAAAAACACAAGUUAGGAAACAUUUCAGUAAUAAAAUGACAUAAGUUAAUAAUUUAAUUACCAAUUGACUAUUUGCUUCAGAUACGCAGGUGGCUUCUUGUUUAAUUAGCAAAACCAUGCAACAAUGUGAUCAUUUAGAGAUAUCAUAUGUAAUUGCCAGUGAUGUUUGUAUUGAAAAACCCAUUAGUAUAACUACAACUGAUGAAAUACUAAUAAUUGACAACUUAAAAUUUGUACUUACUCAUUAAUAUAAGGGGUAAAAUAUGUAUGUUUCCCCUUGUGACCAGAUAGUUCGUAAUGUAUGAAUGGGUUUCAACUAUCCUAUUUCUCAUAAAAUUAAUUAAUCGGGGAUCCAUGAAUCCAUAGAUAUCAUGUUUCCUGUCAUUAACACAUACUCCAAACAAAUACCUACAAGAAUAAUUAGUUAAAACAUAAUAAAUGAUUUAAAUUAUACAAACUAAAAUUAAAUAAUGUUUAAGAGACUUGCAUCAUCCAAAACUGAAUUAUAGAUAUAUUCAACUCCUAGUUGCCAAAUGCAACCUCUAAAAUAUCAGACAUGUGUAUAUAUAAAAGGGAGUCAGUGUUUCUUCCCAAAACAGUACCAUCCCAUGGAAUAUGCGCUGGGUUUGUACCUAUAGCCACAACAACCUCUAAUAAUGAGGCUAUAAGAUUGUCGAUAGAAAUAGUUUUCUUCUUUAUCUGCGAACUUGGUUUUCGACGGGGUUGCUACAAAAUAAACAACAUUUUCAUUAAAUUAAAUAUACAAAUGUAUUCAUACAUAAAUAAAAAUUAAUAAUUACAGUUUAUUAUCUUACUAAGGGUUCAAGAAUACACCAAACAAGGUGUCUGGCCCAAGCCAUGAAUGUCUAAAAUGUUUGUGGCAUAGUAGUUACCUCAUUUGUUGGCAUAGAAACUAGAGCAUCAACAAGAACUUGUACUAUCUCCAUCGUGACCUUCACCUUAUCAGGGGGAUCAACAUUAUGUAAAGUAGUGUCCCCUUCAAAUACUUUCUCUUGGACCAACAACCAAGGAGUGAAAUUGUCCACAGAUAGCUCAAAUUGGCUUAUCUUGCCAAUGUCAUCCCUUGAUGGUGCAUCAGCUACACAAUUCCCCAUGUGCUCAAUCUAAUAGUGGGAGCAACAAAGGUCUGGUGGACAGGAACUGUCUAUUGUGAUAUACUUGAGGUUUGUAGCUUCUCAUGAAACUCUUGCCUCAACUGUUGAGUAACCUAUUGAGUAACCUUCUCAAUAACCUGAUUUGUCACUUGUUUAGUGAUCUCCUGCCUUAAUUGAAUAAUCGCUUCUUAGUUGGUUGCCUCAGAGGAGGAAUUUCGUGGUGUAGCUCCGAAGAACUCAAGAAUGCCAAGCCCUAAUCUUGUAAUUGGACUAUCUGUAAUUGUUCAAAACUAUAUGCACCCGAUAUUUUCAUAUGGGUUUGCUUAUAUUUUUUGUGGUAGGUAGGUGGUGAUGGGGGUUGAUUGACCCCUGUAUCAUCCUCAUAAGUAACAAUAGGUCGUGCUUUAUUCCCUUUCCCUUACAACAACUUCUUCAAGCUUAUGAUAACCCCCAUGUGAAAAUAAGUGUGGGUCACAAUAUGGGUUGCUAUUAUGAUGGAAUCUAUUAUUGCUUGUGUUUGGAAUAUGAUUGAAGAAAACGAAAGAUAUGAUGAAGAGAAACACCAAAUUUGAAAUGGAAUAGGUGAUUAAAGGUGUGUUGUUUAGUGUAAGGUUAAAGGGAGAGGUUUUUCCAACUUCCUUGAAGUUUCACUAGGCUUUGAGAGCAUCUAGCUAAGAAAGAUUGGGAGAUAAUUGUGUUGAAAAUUCAUAAACACAAAUCAUAUAUCAUCCAAAUCUGAAUUUACAAUGCACGGGCCACUUAUUUAUAGGCUCUCAAGGAGUAGUAGGGGUGUCCCAUAAGCUACCUCAACCUUAGUUAAGCUAACUUAACUAUGAUGAAGCUUAGGAGUUUUAAGGUGACCAUUCCUGCUCAAGAAGGAGCUUUUAUAAACCUUUGCUUGAGUCAAGUUAAGGUUUCUAGAGUGUCUUUGAUUUAUUUUUAUCUUAUUGGUUGUGUGUGAUGGCUUGGGAGGUAAGGAUGGUCCUCCAUCAGCCCCCGCCCCCCCCCCCCCUCAAAAGCAUUUGUCCUCAAAUCUAGUUCAGGGUGCCACCUUAUUGUUGUGCUUUGUGAUUAUCCUUCUCCAUGAUAAAAAAAAAACUAACCUAUAGAAAACAAUGAAAUAGUAGAAGACAUGAUAUUUGUUCAGAAAAUUUAAAAAUAAGAAUACAAGAAAGGACGUUCCUUUUAAGGACUAUGUACUCCUUACCUGUCACGUAGACAAAAUUGACCCAAGGAGUACUGUGGGUUUUGGUUGAUUGCAUUGCUAAAAAGGUCAUAAUAUUUGCUCCUGAUUCUAAUGAGUUUCUCAGAGUUUCAAAGUGUGUUUCAGCAAAGGACAUGUGGGACACUCUUGAAAGCACUCAUGAAGGAUCAAGUGGAACUGUUUGGAAUGAUAAUGACAUAUCUUCUUCUGGUUGUAGGUUUACCCUUUUGAACAAUCAGUUGAAAAAUAAAAACAACUGGUUGGAAAAUAUAGUCAAAAUCUUGGAAGAAGAAUUAAACAAAUAAAAAACUGAUUUUGAAAACUUGGAAAUGAUUUAUCAAAAUUCUUCUCGCAAGUGUGAUUCUACUUCUUGUGAAAACUGUGAAUCUCUUCAAAAUAAAGUUUUGUAUCAUAUGAAAACUGUAGAUAAACUUUCUAAAGAAAAAUCCAACUUUGAGAAUGUACUUUCAUCUCAAAACUGUGUUUUUGGAAAAUCUGGACUUGUUUUUAAUCCACAGAGAAAAAACAGUGGCUUUUUCAAAACCUUUUCAACCAUUGUAGAAAAACAACCGAUUGAAAAGUCGAAACAACCGGUUGUUUCUUGCUUCUUCUGUAUGAGAAAGGGUCACUCAGUCACGUUUUGUAAAAUUUGAAAAAAAUUUGUUCCCAGGGGUAUUUUGAAAUGGGUUCCUAAGAAUCCUAAGGUUCCUAAUAACCAAGUUAACCUCUAUUGACCCAAAUUUGUUAGGGGACCAAACCUUGCCACCUGAUUUUGUCUUUUGCAGGAUUCCUUGAUGAAAAGCAAGCAUAUGUGGUACCUGGACAAUGGCUAUUCCAAACACAUGACAAGAGAUAUAUCCAAGUUUGUCAACAUCAUCCUCAAGCAAGAAGGUCAUGUUACCUAUGGGAUAACAACAAAAGGAAGAUUCUUGGGAAAGGCAUUAUAGGAAAUGAAAACAACUUCUUGAUUCAUGAUGUUCUACACGUGGAAGGACUCAAGCAUAAUCUUCUCAGCAUAAGCCAAUUGUGUGAUAGAGGGUAUCAAGUGACCUUCAAACCUAACAAUUGUGAGAUUCCUCUAUCCAAUUCACAGGAAGUGCUACUGGUUGGUAAAAGAGGUAAUAAUGUUUACCUUCUUGACAUAUCAAAUCCCACAUCUCUUGACUGUCUUUUAACCAAGCAUGAGGAAUCAUGGCUUUGGCAUAGAAGAAUUUCUCAUAUUCAUAUGCAUCACUUGAACAAACUGAUAGCUAAUGAUCUUGUUGUAGGGCUACCUAAGCUUAAGUUUAAAAAAGAUCAUGUAUGUGAAGCUUGCCAAAAAGGGAAACAAACUAAACAUUCCUCUAAACUGAAAAAUAUGGUAUCCACUUCAAAACCCCUUGAGCUUCUUCACAUGGAUCUGUUUGGUCCCUCAAGGACAAUGAGUCUUGGUGGGAAUUAUUAUGCUCUUGUUGUGGUUGAUGAUUUUUCCAGGUUCACAUGGACAAUGUUUCUGGAGUCAAAAAGCAAUGCCUUCUCUGCAUUCAAGAACUAGCUAAGAGGUUGUAGAAUACAUGUUGCAACAACAUAUGUGUUAUCCGUAGUGAUAAUGGAGGAGAAUUUCAUAAUGAAAAUUUCAGCUCCUUUUGUGAAAAGCUUUGUAUCUUCCACAAUUUCUCUGCUCCAAGAACACCUCAGUAGAAUGGUGUGGUGGAAAGAAAGAACAGAUCGCUUGAAGAACUGGCCAGGAAAAUAUUGAGUGAAUCAUCCUUGCCAAAAUACUUUUGGGCAGAUGUUAUAAGUACUGAAUGCUAUGUGAUGAAUUGGGUUCUCAUCAUGCCUAUCUUAAAGAAGACUCCAUAUGAACUGCUUAAUGGAAGGAAACCCAAUAUAGGUCAUCUAAAGGUAUUUUGGAUGUAAGUGUUAUAUUCUGAAUAAUGGUAAAGAAAAUCUUGUAAAAUUUGAUGAGAAAGCAGACAAUGGUAUUUGUCUUGGUUACUCUUUAUCUAGUCAUGCUUAUAGGGUUUAUAAUAAAAAACUCAUGACUGUAAAGGAAUCUAUACAUGUUGUAUUUGAUGAAACUAACCCUGCAAAACAAAGUUCCUUGAGGAAUUGUGCAGAAGAAGAUGAGCAAAACAUCUUUCUAAAGAAUUUGGAAACCUGUCCAGAAAAACAAUCAAUUGAUUAUGCGAAUCAACCGAUUGAUAUUCUUCAACUAGAGGAGCUACCCAAGGAAUGGAGGAUUCCAAGAGACGUCUCUGUGGAAAACAUAAUCGGAGAUAUUAAUAAAGGAGUUUCUACACGAAGAACCAUAGCAAACUACUGCAGACACAUGGCCUUAAUCUCUCAAGUUGAACCCAAAUCAGUUGAUGAAGCUCUCAAGGAUGUGAUUUGGACUGUUGUUAUGCAUGAGGAGCUAAAUCAAUUCAUCAGUAAUGAUGUGUCACUCCUGGUCCCAAAAUAGAUCAUAUGAACAUCAUUGGGACGAAAUGGGUGUUCAGAAACAAGGUUGAUGAAUCAGGGGUGAUAACAAGGAACAAAGCAAAACUUGUUGCACUAGUGGCCAGAUUGGAAGUUGUAAGGUUGUUGCUAGCCUUUUCUUCCAUGAGCGGGUUAAAAUUGUUCCAAAUGGAUGUGAAGAGUGCCUUCCUUAACAUAGUUAUCAAUGAAGAGGUCUUUGUCUCACAACCACCCGGGUUUGUAGAUCAUCAACAUCCCAAGCAUGUAUAGAAGCUGAAAAAGGCCUUGUAUGGUCUUAAGCAAGCUCCAAGGCAGUGGAAUGAGAGGUUAAGUAACUUCCUCUUGUCUCAUGACUAUGAAAGAAGGAAGGUUGGCAAAACUCUCUUUAUCAAAAAAUCAAAUUCUGCCAUUAUUUUAGUCCAAAUAUAUGUUGAUGACAUUAUUUUUGGUGCUACUAAUGAUAGCUUGUGUAAAGAAUUUGUGGUAGCUAUGCAAGGAGAAUUUGAAAUGUCGAUGAUGGGAGAGUUCUCCUUCUUCUUGGGACUAAGGUCCAACAAUCAAAGGAUGGCAUCUUCUAAGUCAAUCCAAGUAUUGUAAGGAAAUUCUCAAAAGUUUUGAAAUGGUGCAGUGUAAAGAAGCAACUACACCUAUGUCCACAAGUUUUAUCAUGGUUUAAAUUCUGCUGCUUCCAUGCUCUUGUUCACCAUAGUUCUGCUGCAGACAAGUCUAAUUUUGGCACUGGUUUUUAUGGUUAUUUGUCUGGUUUUUCUGCUUAAAGGCUUAUGCAGAAAACUGGUUUUGUGUGCCUUGGUAUCCUGCUGGUAUACUUGCUUUGUAUAUGCACAAAUUCUGUUUUGCAGGACUUUUCAAGUUCAAAAACAACAACACAAACAAACCAGGGAUUUGUCUUCAUCAAAUAGGGGGGAGAUUGUUGACCAAGAUGCUUUGAUGUCUCCAAAUCCAAGAGGAAAGCUUGAAGACCUUGUUGUUGGGUGUGUGUGUGUGUUGUCUAGUUGUUUGAAACUUGUUAAUUCACUCCUUAAGCUGAUCCAAGUUCAUUUGAAUCUUUAACCUUUUGAAAAGAUGGGUUUUAUAAAAAGCUGUUGAAAUUUCAACAGGUUGUUUUUCGAAACAACAGGUUGUUUUACCUUAGUAGUUUUUGAAAAGGUUUUGAAAAGCUUGACUUUGCUGUCAAAGUCAAUUCAACCGAUUGUUUCGACAAAACAAUCGAUUGUUUUUCUGAUAAACUUAACAGAAUUCUGUUAAGUGGUUUUAAUAUGUUUUAAAUGAUCCUAACUACCUUGAUUCCUUUAUUAAAUGCUUUUGACCACUUGGUUGGUCCAUAUAAAUGUGGUUUUACACUCCUAAUCUUAGAGUAAGAAAAAGAGUGUAUCAAAAAUAGUUUUUCCAAGAUUUGAAAGAGCUUUGGAUCAUUCUUAAGUGUGUGGAAUAGGAUUGGGUUGUAUUCUGAACUUUAAGCUUUGUAAUACCCAGGUGUAUUCUAUUCCCUUAUUCCUUGAUUACUGUAUUUUUGUAUUUAUGUUGCCAAGGAGUGUUUGUGUGUUCUUGAGGUGUUCAAGAUCAACACUCUUGGGGUGGUUUGCCAAAGGUAAUGUGUUUCUUGAGGGGUUCAAGGUCACUACUUUGGUGUCUGGUGUUUGUAAUAUGGUUUUGAUUGCAUGGUGGAUUACCCAGUGGUUUCUGGGGUCUGGAUGUAGCUCUUGGUGUAAGAGUGAACCAGUAUAAAUCUGUUUGUGUGAUUUUAUCUUUCCCUAAUCUUAGAGAUAUCUAUUUUAAGUUGUUUUUAUUAACUGCUGAUAAAAACAACCGGUUCAAUCGCAAAAACAAUCGGUUGAUUUUCUGGAAAUCAACUAAAACAGCUUUGUGCUUUGCUGUCCUUAGUUUCUUUCUCUGUGAUUCUUCAUUGACCUUCAUUAUACCUUCAAAGUUUGCGAAAAUCUUUCAUAAACAAUUCACCCCCCUCUUAUUUAAGGCCAUAUAUUCUAACACUAGAUUCCAGUCCAAUCCGAAAGAAUCACACAUUAAAGCUGCCAAAAGAAUUCUGAAGUAUCUAAAAGGCACAUCCAUUGUUGGGUUAUGGUAUCCUUAUCAUUGUCCUAUACAUUUAGUUGGAUACUCUUAUUCAGAUUUUGAAGGAUGCAAACUGGACAGGAAAAGCACAAGUGUUACUUGUCAUCUACUUGGCUCCAGCCUUAUCUCUUGGCAUAGCAAGAAGCAAGCCUGCGUAGCACUCUCCAUUACUGAAGCAUAAUACAUUGUUGCAGAAAGCUGUUGUGCUUAGAUUUUGUGGAUUAAACAAUAGCUUCAAGACUUUGGAUUAAAAGUCAGCAAAGUACCCCUACUGUGUGACUACACAUGUGCCAUCAAUCUCACAAAAAAUCAAGUUCAGCACUCUAGGACAAAACAUAUUGAGAUCCGACACCAUUUCAUAAGAGAUCAUGUGAGUAAUGGAGACUGUGAGGUGAAGUUCAUUGCAACCGAAAGGCAAUUGGCAGAUUUUUUCACUAAAUCUUUGCCAAAGGACAGGUUCUUCUUUCUCAGAAAUGAGUUAGGAAUUCUUGACUCACAAACUCUCUUUUAAAUGUUGUUUUUUUUAUCUCUCCUUUGAUUCUAUUUGUGAAGAAAAUAGGGGGAGAAGUUUCUGUGGUUUGUAUGUUUGUAUUGUGUGCUUAAAUUAUGUUUUAACUUGGUUUAUAUGCUGCUUACUUUGAUUAAAAUUGUUGCAUAAACCUCUGCUGGAUAAAAUUCUUAUUCGCACCUCUCUUUAACCAUCUUUUCACGCUGAUUUUGCUGACUUUCCUUAUGGAAAUCACUAAGUGAAAAAUGGUUCCUUGGUGCUGAUGAAAUCUGGAAAGGGUUACCUCUUGUAUUUGCAAAUUUUGUGUUUUGCAGGUAUUGACAAAUUCAAACAAAACAUCCCAAGCAAACCAAAGAUUUGUCUUCAUCAAAUAGGGGGAGAUUGUUGAACUUGAAGCUUUGGUGUCUCCAAAUCUAUGAAGUUUACUUGAAGACUACGUUGUUGCUUGAAGGCAUGGGUUCUGGGUAGAUUAGAAUUUGUCAAUCCACUCUUAGCUUGAUCCAAAACUAAAUCAAUCAUGUUCUUUAAAAGAAAAAAAAAAUUCAAAAUAAGUGAAAAACAACUUGUUGAUUUGUCGUUUCAAUCGGUUGUUUUACACUUGGUAGUUUUGGAAAGGAUUUGAAAAAGCUGAAAUUGGUUGACCUCAAUUCGCACUUUCAAUCGAUUGUUUUUUUGAAAACAUAACAGAAUUGGUUUAAUCCAUUAAAACUAUAUUUGCUUAUUUCAAAUCUGUUUUAGCCCCUGAUUGAUAGUCUGAAAUGGCUAUUUUUAAGGCUAUAUAACUGGUUUUUGAAUCUCUAAUUGAGAGAGAGAUCAAAUUACAAAAGAUCAAAGAGAUUUUCUAAAGAUUGCAAGAUUGCUAAAAGUUUUGCAUUAGUUAAGAGUGGAGUAGGUUUUGUUGUAUUCAUAUUUUGUAUCAGGUGUGAUCCUUCUUAUUCUUUGUUGUUCUUUAAUUCAUUUUGUAUAAGUGUGAGAAACUGGUGUUACAUCUAGGGGUUUCUGGGGACUAGAUGUAGCUCAUAUUAAGAGUGAACCAGUAUAAUCCUUGUGUGUUCAAUCUCUCUAUCUCUCACUGCUUAUAAAACUGUUUGAUCUGUGAUUUGUCAAUCGAUUGAUUUGUAUAAACAAUCAAUUGAUUUUCUGGAAUCAAAUUAAAACAGUUUUGUUGAUUGGCUUAUCUGAUUGCUUUUUCUGGGUUUCUGCAUUAAUAUUCAUUCUUGUUCAGAAUUUGCGAAAAUCUUUCAUUAAGCAAUUCACCCCCUCUUGUUUAAACGCCUAUAAAUCCAACAUUAAUCUCCAUCAUGAAAAUAAUGUUGCUUAAGCUUGCUUGGAAUUUUGCUUAUAGUAACAAGCCUUGGUCUUCUCCCCUGAAAGCCAAAGUUCUUAAAUAAAAGUACAAACUUCAAAUGGUUUAUCGAUCCCCGUCUCUUUAGUCUGCAAUUAAACAGUUUUAUGCUACUAUACUUGACAAUACUUCUUGGACUAUUGGUACAGGUACUUUUAAAUGGUGUUCUACUACUUCUUUAGAUAAUAUUGUAGGGUUAUCUGAUGGUGCUAGCAUUUCGGAUACAGUCUCUCAAUUUUGGAAUGGUUGUGAUUGGAAUAUUCCAUUGUCUUUACAAAGCCUCAUUUUUUUAAUCAUAUCAUGGUUAUGGAGGCCCAGAAUAUUCCUAAUUGGAUUUUAUGAGUCUGUUAGUUUCACUCUUAAAUUGGCUAGGACUUUUUUCUUGAAACUAGAAGUUUCCUAUGGUUUGGGUAAAUUCAUUUGAUCUUCAUAUAUUCUGUCUUCCAAAACUCUAGUACUCUGGAAAAUUUUACAUGGGCGGCUUCCUACCGAUCAAUAGAUUCAGCAUAAAGGUUAUAUGUUCUAUGUGUACGCUUUGUGAAAAGCACGAGGAAUCUAUUCAACAUUUAUUUUUUCAAUGUUUUAAUGCUUUGCAUAUUUGAAGUUGGGUUCAAAAGUGUUGGGUUCAAAAGUGUCAAAGUUCAAGAGGGGGGUGAAUUAAGCUUUUACAACUUUCACACAGAUUCGGUCUUUUUGCAAAACAGAGGAAAAUAAUCUAUUUAUUUAGCAAUGAACAAAUUUAUUUUUAUUCUGCUUAGUGUAUUAAGACAGUUAUAUCAGUUGUGUGAUUUUAUGAUAUUAAGCGAGUUGAUCAGCUAGCAACGUUCACAUCAAUUUCCACAGAAUAAAAUGUGAGAGCAGAAUCAAUAAAAUACAAUUCUUGAAUGCAAAGUCAAACUCUUGAAUGAAACUUGUUAAUUAAUUGAGUUAACUUUCAUAGAACAAUGAACUCCAAUUAUGUUCAACAGCUCACAUAGGUUUUCACAAAAGCUUCAAAUUGAUUUUCCAGAAAUCAAGAACAGUAGGAACAAAUCCAGAAAGAACAAAUUUAUUCUUAAUUGAACAGAUUUAAUUUCUGACAGACUAACAAAUGAAUCAGUAAAAUACAAUUCUUGAAUGCAAAGUCAAACUCUUGAAUGAAACUUGUUAAUUAAUUGAGUUAACUUUCAUAGAACAAUGAACUCCAAUUAUGUUCAACAGCUCACAUAGGUUUUCACAAAAGCUUCAAAUUGAUUUUCCAGAAAUCAAGAACAGUAGGAACAAAUCCAGAAAGAACAAAUUUAUUCUUAAUUGAACAGAUUUAAUUUCUGACAGACUAACAAAUGAAUCAGUAAAAUACAAUUCUUGAAUGCAAAGUCAAACUCUUGAAUGAAACUUGUUAAUUAAUUGAGUUAACUUUCAUAGAACAAUGAACUCCAAUUAUGUUCAACAGCUCACAUAGGUUUUCACAAAAGCUUCAAAUUGAUUUUCCAGAAAUCAAGAACAGUAUGAACAAAUCCAGAAAGAACAAAUUUAUUCUUAAUUGAACAGAUUUAAUUUCUGACAGACUAACAAAUGAAUCAGUAAAAUAGUGCAAAGAUGAAGAGAGAUUGAACACAAAGAGAUUGUACUGGUUCACUCAAAUGAGCUACAUCCAGUCUCACCUAAUUCAAGGUGAAAUCCACUAAAAACACAGUUCAAAACAAUUACACAACCACUAUUCUUGAACCUUACUAGCACAUGGCACACCUUGUUGAAAAAGCCUAUUUCAACACACACAACUCUUCAAGAAACCCUAUCAAGAAGAGUCUUACAAUCACGCUUUACAAAGAAAAAGAAAGAUGAAAUGAAUACACCUGGAAAGAGAAUGCAGAAAUAUGACUUAGACCAGUAGAACAGAUUGCACACAUUGUGACAACACCUCCAACUAAACCUUAAAACCAAGCAAGAACAAGCACAAUUUCUAAUUUUGAAAAAUCUUUCAAGCACACGUACUCAUUCUCUUAAAAUACUCAAUCUCUAUUGUAAAACUUGUUUUCUCAACAACUACUUUAAGUCAGAACCAUUUCUCUUUUUAUAAGAGACAUUUUAUAAUAGACUUUUAAAAAAGCAGUUAAAGUAGUUAUAAAAAGAACAUAUUGAAAAUAAAAUGAAUAGAUUUAUUUUCGAAAGCAAAGAGAGUUUUUGAAAGGUUGCAAUUUAGUUACAUGAGUCUUAGCCAAGCUUCUUAGUGCAAAGAUAAAGAUGUGGAAAGCACUUAUGAACCAGGCACCAGACUAAAAAGAAUCUAUUCAUUUAAGGAAGACAAAUUCAUUUUCAAAAAGAUAACUAGAGAUAUUUGAACAGAUAAAACACAGUCAUUUUUUAUAGCAUGAAGACUGAGUCAAGAUUCUUGAUGCACAAAACAAGGUUAUCAAAAACUUUUAACAAAACAUCAGGUUAAUAAAGAAUCUAUUCAUUUAAGAAAGAACAGAUUCCUUUUCUGUGCAGUAAAGAGUAUUUUGGUAAAACAUGUGAAAAACAUUUUUAGAAAACAUUGUGCUUGCUCUUAUCACAUGGUUAAGGGUUAAGAGGUGGGUCAGAAGCAAAAACUCACUUUAAACAACCACUAAUCUAUGCCUAGAACAACAACAAAUGCAAAUACAAGCUUCAAAGCGAAGUACACAAUUGAAUUCAUCAAACACAUUAUCUUGAAGGGGCAACAUUCAUCUUCAACAAUCUCCCCCUGUUUGAUGGAGAGAAAACCCCAUAGCUCAGUUGCUUUGAAGAGAGAUCAACACUUGUACUACACCAAAUACCAAAAUACAAAAGCUAAAAGUAAUCAUAGCAUAAACCAGAUUUAGGGCCUAGAGUGUAACUCCCUGUAUCACCUAGCAUCACCUAGCAUCACCUAGCAUGGUUAGCCUAUUUUUCCCCCUUUGGAUUCAUCAAACAACAUUUUGGCAUAGAGAAAUAAAAAACCAGAUAAAAGCCAACCAUAACAAUCCAGAAAACAAUACAAAUUGUUCAACAGAUUACAGAAAUAUAAACUAGGUGAAAGAUAAACAUAGAAACAAGGCACUUAUACUACUUGUAGUACAGUUCUGCCAACUGCACCUAAACUUCUUCAAUUUGAUGAUCGAGAUGCUGGAACCUGGCUUGAGUUGCCUCGAAAUAGGUCUUUUGCUCCUCUAACAGUGCAUCAAGUCGAGACAGGACUUGCCUCUCAAACAUGGACAUGGGUUCACAUAUGUAUUCUGGAGCUUGAUAGGCAAUAAGAGCGUUGUGGUGAGUUGCAGCAACAUCUUCAUUCAUUAAUUGUGGUGCCGAUGAUUCUCCUCUAUAUUCUGUAGAAGGAGAUCUCAUUCUUUGACUCCUAACAUGGUCAGCAGGGGAUUCCAUCCUGUGUGAUGAAGUGUGAUGAACUUCAUAGCAAGACUAUUCUGCAGCUUACACAGUAUCAUCUUCCAUAGGCACUGCAUCAUCUCCCUCAUCAUUGUUGAGAUUUAAACCUCCACGUUCCUCCCUGUGAGUCUUGCUUUUGAGAAACACCCAACAGUCAUCUACUUUGUGAAAUCUCAUCUUUAGGAGAGUUGAAUUAUCAAUCUCACUCACAACUUUGAUGGUCUCAUUCCUCUCAUUAGUAGUGUCAAUACCAAAAUGAUCAAUUAAUUUUGACACAAGAAUAGCAUAAGGAAAUCUGUAAUCAGUUAACCUUUUCGAUUUCAACAUAUGCUCCAUGAUAAUGUAUACCCAGUUACUUUGAUCAGAUUCAUAAUGCAAUAAAGGAGGAUUAAAUCUUCUUCAUGCAAAACCGCAUGAUUAGUGCCUCUAGGAAUAAGUUGCCAUGCAAUGAUGUAGACAAUUAAUCUUGGAGUUAAAUUUAGAUUACCUGCAUGGAACCUGUUGACACUCUGAGUUGGAUUUCUUACACAGCUCCUGUAGUAUUGGAUUUUUUUGAACUCUUGAAUCCUAUUUGUGUUCCCUUUUCCAACCUUCAAACCAGAAUAUUUGAUUCUAGCCACUGAAUUUCACACAUUAUUUGUGACUUUCAUUUUGAUGCCUUUCACAUAGGUCACAAGAUUUUUCCCAUCCAGAGUUAAAUUGGUGUAGAAGACCUUAACCAGGCCAGGAUAUACAUUACUAGUCAUCUCUAGGAACUACUUCAGUUUUUUAUGCUUCAAUGCAGAUCUGGUUUCAGUCGGUUUCUUAGUUUUCAGCCAGGAAAACUCUAAUACCUUGGGUAUGUUGAUUUGCUCUCUACUCAUCUCAUGUAUGUAAGCAGUUAUCCCCUCUUCAUUUCCAGCAAACCAAUUUUCUAGUACCUCUUGAGAAUUGUUGUGUUUUUCCUGAUUCUUCUUUUUCUGUCGUGAAGAAGAAUCCAUUUGUUGAACCAGUUUUAUGUCUGCACAUCAAUUAACUUGGAGACAUAUUAGUGUGGAGUGAACAACAUGUAGCAACAGAUAACCAAAGAAAGACAUUACCUUACCAGGUUUGAGUCAAGUGGUGAAAGGUGAGUAUUAAUAAUGUUUUAAAACAGAUUUAUAUAGAAAAAUAGUGAUAUUUUGAUGAAGCAGUUAAGAGCAGAGAUACACGAGGAUUUUAUUCUCUGUAUUGUGCAGAGUAUCUUUGGAAAGAGGCAUAAAAUAUUUUGAAUCACGAUGCAUACAUAUCACUCUCCAAUUAAGAAGCCAAUGCAUCAAAUCAGUUACAAGACCAUGACUAAAACCGUUAAAGAUAUGGUGGUUAAUACCCACUAUGUCAGUUAAACAGUCAAAGAGAGAUAUUAAUGUUUCUCUUUCCUAGUCAUUAAUGCACACCAAUAUCAGAAAAAAAUAAACACAUUUAAUUUUGAUAAAUAACAGAUUUAUUUUUACUUCGGUGGGUAAUUAACAUUUAUGAUACCCAAUUCAUUCAACAGAAAAUUAAACCUAUCUUGGGCCAAUGGUUUAGUGAACAAAUCAGCAAGUUGUAAAUCAGUACCAAUGAAUUUAAUUUCACAUGUUCCAUUUGAUAUAUGCUCUCUUAGAAAGUGAUGCCUUAUUUCAUUAUGUUUUUUCCUUGAAUGCAUAAUAUGAUUUUUAGUUAAAUUGAUGGCACUAGUAUUAUCACAUAGCAGAGGUAUAUUAUUAAGCAAGAUACCAAAGUCAUUUAACUGCUACCUCAGCCAUAGGGUUUGAGCAUAGCAACUACCUGCAGUAAUAUACUCUGCUUCAGCAGUAGAGAGAGCAACACACGCUUGCUUUUUUCAUUGCCAAGAGAUCAAGCUUGAUCCAAGCAAGUGACAUGUGACACUGGUGCUCUUUCUAUCAAUCUUGCAGCCUGUAAAGUUUGAAUCAGAGUACCCAGUCAAGGUUAAUGAAAUAUUACCUGGAUACCACAAGCCAACUUGUUUUGUUCCUUGGAGGUAUUUUAGAAUUCUUUUGGCAGCAUUGAAAUGUGACUCUUUUGGAGCAGAUUGGAAACGAGCACACAUGCACACAACAAACAUUAUGUCAGGUCUGCUGGCAGUAAGAUACUAUAGAGACCCAAUAAGCCCUCUGUACUUAGUCUCAUCAACAGGAUUUCCAGCAAUAUCAUGAUCUAGAUGGCAGCUAGUUGAGAAGGGUGUGUUGAUUGAUUUGCACUUCCAUUCCAAAUUUUCUUAACAGAUCCUUGCAAUACUUAGCUUGACUUAAGAAUAUGCCAUCCUUGAUUUGUUUGACCUGCAAGCUUAGAAAAUAAUUCAACUCACCCAUCAUAGACAUUUCGAACUCACUCUUCAUGAUUUCCACAAAUGUUUCACAUAAUUCUACAUUGUUUGACCCGAAUAUGAUAUCAUCCACAUAGACUUGAACUAGAAUUAUGUCAUCCUCUUUCCUCUUAAUGAACAAAUUUUUAUCUGAUGUGCCUCUGUCAUAGCCUUGUGAGGUAAGAAAAUCACUCAACCUCUCAUACCAUUGUCUAGGGGCUUGCUUAAUCCCAUAGAGAGCUUUCUUGAGUUUGAAUACAUAUUCUGGAUGAUAAUGGUCUUCAAAUCCUGGGGGUUGUGAAACAAAUACUUCUUCAUUGAUAUAACCAUUCAAGAAGACACUUUUCACAUCCAUUUGGAAUAGGUUGAAUCCUUUUAUGUAGGAAAAAGCAAGGAGAAGUCUGACAGCUUCAAGUCGAGCCCCUGGUGCAUAUGUUUCAUCAUAAUCUAUUCUUUCUUCUUGGUUAUACCCUUUAGCCACAAGUCUGACUUUAUUUCUGGUAAUCACCCCAUGCUCAUCCAUCUUGUUUCUGAAUAUCCAGUUUGUUCCAAUGAUGUUCAUUUCAGGUAUUCUAGGAACAAGUGACCAUACCUCAUUCAGAGAAAAUUGAUUUAGUUCCUCUUGCAUAGCCAGAAUCCAGGUGUUGUCCUUGAGAGCUUCAUCCAGAUUUUAAGGUUCCUCUUGAGAAACUAAUGCCAUUGUCUCACACAGAUUGUUUAGAGAAUUCCUAGUUGAAACACCUUUUUCAAUAUUUCCAAUGACAUUGUCAAGGGUGAGAUCUCUUAUUCUUUUGGUAAAUCUGCAGAAACACUAGGUUCUUUGACAACAUGUGAGUCAUCAAUAUCUAUAUGAAUCAAUUCAUUUUUAUGCAAAACAGAUUUUAAAUCAUCACAUUCUAAGUCAUCUGAAACAGGUUUUGGCAUGUAAUUAUCAUAUUCAUCAAAUACAACAUGCAUUGAUUCUUCUACUGUUAGCAAUCUUUUAUUAAAAUCCCUAUAAGCAUGACCAUUUAAAGCAUAGCCAAUGUGAAUUCCUUCAUCAGAUUAUGCAUCAAAUUUUCCCAAAUUCUUUUUUCCAUUAUUCAGUACAAAGCAUUUACAUCCAAACACUCUAAGAUGACUUACACUAGGUUUUCUACCCUUAUAUAGCUCAUAAGCAGUUUUCUUAAGGAUAGGCCUAAUUAAGGUUCUAUUUAACACAUAAGCAGACUGCAUCUGCCCAGAAUAUUUAGGAAGCUUAGAUUCAUUCAACAUGGUCCUAGCAAGUUCCUCUAGUGAUCUAUUUUUCCUAUCAACAACACCAUUCUGUUGGGUAGUCCUAGGGGCUGAAAAGCUAUGUGAUAUCCAAUGUUUUUCACAAAACCUUUCAAACUUAGCAUUUUGAAACUCACCCCCAUGAUCACUACGAAUAGAUUUCACACAGCAGCCAUUUUCAUUUUGCAGAACUUUUGUCAAUUUCUUAAAAGCCUUAUAAGCAUAAUUUUUGUAAGCAAGAAAGAGAGUCCAUGUAUAUCUAGAAUAAUCAUCAAUAAUAACCAAUGCAUAUAAAUUUCCAGCCAAGCUAGCAACUCUAGAGGGUUCAAACAGAUCCAUAUGUAGAACAUCCAAGGGUUUCUUAUUAGAAAUAAUGUCCUUUGAUUUAAAGGAAGUUCUGAUUUGUUUACCUUUCACACAUGCAUCACAGAGUCUGUUAUCCUGAAAUUUUAUAUUAGGCAAACCAGAAACAAGAUCCUUGGAUUUCAAUUUAUUCAAGUGAUUAGUGUGAAUGUGAGCUAACCUUCUGUGCCACAGCCAAGACUCAUCACUUUUAGACUAAAAACAUUCAUUUACAAAAUUAGUUUCCAAUAUAUCAAAGAGAUAUAUGUUAUUCACUCUCUUACUAGUAAACAACACCUUACUAGAGGAAUCAUGUCAGAUUGUGCACCCAUUUGACUUGAAGUUUACCUUGUACCCUUUGUCACAUAGUUGACUGAUACUUAGAAGAAAAUGUCUAAGUCCUUCCACAUAAAGCACAUUCUCAAUGGUGGUUGAAUUUCCAGUUCCAACAGUUCCUCUUCCUAGAAUUCUUCCACAAUUAUUGUCCCCAUAAGUGACAUGUCCCUCUGCUUUGAGUUUUAAGCUAGUGAACUUAGUUAGGUCACCAGUCAUAUGUUUUGAACAUCCACUGUCCAAAUACCACUGAUUUCUCUUGCUGCUUUUCUGCAAAACAAAACAAAGACAAUACACAUGGUACCUUUUUUAGUCUAGGGUCUAGCAGUGAUUAAUACCUUUCCUUUGGAAGCCAUUUGGCCAAGCUUUUAGGAAUAAGGUAUUUUCUAGCAAUGUAUGUUCUAGAAGUAUGUCCAGAUUUCAUACAAUAAAAGCAAGUAACAUGAUAUGCCUUUUUGCCACUAUUAAAAGAUGAAAAACUAGUUUUUGCUGGAACAAAAAAACUUGAAAGCUUUUUAACAUUGUUUACUUUUCCAGGAUUAUAGCCAAUUCCAUUUUUGUUGAAAACAACAUUUUGUGAACCUAGAAGAGACUCAAGAUUAUCCCUACCUUUAGUGAAAUUGGAUAAAUUUUCCAGCAAAUACUCAACUUGUUUUUCCAGCUUUUUACAGUUUUCAUAAGUCUUUAUGGAAGCAUGCAAACAUGUCAAUUCAAGACUUACAAGAUCAGUUUUAGCCUUAUGCAGUUCUACCUCAAGAGAUUUUACCUUAGGUGCAAGUACAUUAUUUACUUUUUGCAAUUUACUGCAUAUAACAGCUAACCUAUUUGCCUCAUCAUGCGUUUCUUUGAAAGCAACCAACAGUUGAUCAUAAUUGUCAGAUUCCAUGGAGAAGUCACUAACCGAAUCACAUAUUGAUCCUUCAUCUUUCAUCAUGAAACACAAAUUGGUUUCUUCACUUUCUGUUGAAGAGUUGCUUGUUGAUGACACUUCAUUCUCUUCCCAAGAUAUGUAAGCUCUUCUCCCCUUGCUUCUUUCAACCUUCUUGCUGGCUGUUUUUUCUUUAGUGUGAUUGUUUGGACAAUCCAUCUUAAUAUGUCCUGUUUUACCACAACCAAAGCAAGUAUAGUUAGAAGAAUUAGAUUCAUUCGAUUUAAGAUACCUUCUUUUCUGUUGAGUCCUAUCUCUGCCUUUCUUCUUUAGGAAUCUGUUGAACCUUUUUGUGAGUAGACUUAUUGUUUCAUCAUGUUCAGCUUCUGCCUCCUCACUGAUAUCAUUCUGUACACUUGCUUUCAAUGCAAGUCCCUUAGUUUUCCUUUCCAUUGUUUCUUGCUCUUUAAGCCUUUUGAGCUCCAGCUCAUGCUCCAUUAAUUUUCCAAACAGUGCAGUAGUGGACAACUUUGACAGGUCUCAGCUUUCUGAAAUUCCAGUUACUUUGGGUUGCCAGCUCCUAUCAAGAGAUUUCAGCACCUUUAUAUUGAGCUCUUCUUUGUCAAACUCUUUUCUCAAUUCAGUAAGAUGAUUUACAAUGUGGGUAAAUCUCUUUUGUACAUCAACAAUGGUUUCUUCAGGUUGCAUCCUGAAAAGCUCAUAUUCUUGAAUGAGUGAAUGCUUUCUUGAUCUCUUCACAUCAUCCGUUCCCUCAUGAGUUACCUCCAAAACCUCCCACAUUUCCUUAACAGAGUUGCAUUGAGAUAUUCUGAAGAAUUCAUCCAUUCUCAAUGCAGAGGUUAUGAUGUUCUUUGCUACUGAAUCAUAUUGAGCUUUCUUUCUCUCACUCACAAUCCAUUCAGACCUUGAUUUCUUCACUGUUUCAUCCUUGAUAACCUGCAUCGGUACAAAAAGUCCAUCGACCACAACCUCCCAAAUACCAAAGUCAAUAGAUUCCAUGAAAAAUUUCAUUCUAAUUUUCCAGAAAGCAUAAUUCAUCCCCCUGAACAUAGGGGGUCUAUUAAUAGACGAACCCUCAGCAAAAAGCACUUUAAACCCAGACAUAUUGCAAACAAACUUGAGUAAAAUACAAGUCCUAGCUCUGAUACCAAUUGUUGGGUUCAAAAGUGUCAAAGUUCAAGAGGGGGGUGAAUUGAGCUUUUAAAACUUUCACACAAAUUCGGUCUUUUUGCAAAACAGAGGAAAAAAAAUCUAUUUAUUUAACAAUGAACAAAUUUAUUUUUAUUCUGCUUAGUGUAUUAAGACAAUUAUAUCAGUUAUGUCAUUUUAUGAUAUUAAGCGAGUUAAUCAGCUAGCAAUGUUCACAUCAAUUUCCACAGAAUAAAAUGUGAGAGCAGAAUCAGUAAAAUACAAUCUUUGAAUGCAAAGUCAAACUCUUGAAUGAAACUUGUCAAUUAAUUGAGUUAACUUUCAGAGAACAAUGAACUCCAAUUAUGUUCAACAGCUCACACUGGUUUUCACAAAAGCUUCAAAUUGAUUUUCCAGAAAUCAAGAACAGUAUGAACAAAUCUAGAAAGAACAUAUUUAAUUUCUGACAGACUAACAAAUGAAUCGGUAAAAUAGUGCAGAGAUGAAGAGAGUUUGAACACAAAGAGAUUAUACUGGUUCACUCAAAUGAGCUACAUCUAGUCUCACCUAAUUUAAGGUGAAAUCCACUAAAAACACAAUUCAAAGAAUUACACAACCACUGUUCUUGAACCCUAUAAGAACAUGGCACACCUUGCUGAAAAACCCUAUUUUAGCACACACAACUCUUCAAGAAACCCUAUCAAGAAGAGUCUUACAAUCACGCUUUACAAAGAAAAAGAAAGAUGAAAUGAAUACACCUGGAAAGAGAAUGCAAAAAUCUGACUUAGACCAGUAGAGCUGAUUGCACACACUAUGACAACACCUCCAACCAAACCUUAGAACCAAGCAAGAACAAGCACAAUUUAUAAUUUUAAAAAUCUUUCAAGAACACAUACUCUUUCUCUGAAAAUACUCAAUCUCUUUUGUAAAACUUUUUUUCUCAACAACUACUUUAAGUCAGAACCAACUCUCUUUUUAUAAGAGACAUUUUAUAACAAACUUUUAAAAAACAGUUAAAGAAGUUAUAAAAAGAACAUAUUGAAAAUAAAAUGAAUAGAGUUAUUUUCGAAAGCAAAGAGAGUUUUUGAAAGGUUGCAGUUUAGUUACAUGAGUCUUAGCCAAGCUUCUUGGUGCAAAGAUAAAGAUGUGGAAAGCACUUAAGAACCAGGCACCAGACUAAAAAGAAUUUAUUCAUUUAAGGAAGAACAAAUUCAUUUCAAAAAGAUAAUUAGAGAUAUUUGAACUGAUAAAACAUAGUCGUUUUUUUAUAGCAUGAAGACUAAGUCAAGAUUCUUGAUGCACAAAACAAGGUUAUCAAAAACUUUUAACAAAACAUCAGUUUAAUAAAGAAUCUAUUUAUUUAAGAAAGAACAUAUUCAUUUUCUUUGCAGUAAAGAGUAUUUUGGUAAAACAUGUGAAAAACAUUUUUAGAAAACAUUGUGCUUGCUCUUAUCACAUGGUUAAGGGUUAAGUGGUGGGUCAGAAGCAAAAAGCUCACUUUAAACAACCACUAAUCUAUGCCUAGGACAACCACAAAUACAGAUACAAGCUUCAAAGCGAUGUACACAAUUGGCUUCAUGAAACACAUUGUCUUGAAGGGGCAACAUCCAUCUUCAACAAGAAAAUGUUUUUUAUUCCUCAGUUUUCUAAUAAGGAAGAUCUUCUUUCUUUUAUUAAGAAUGAUGGUAGUUCUUUGGUUAAAUUGCUUAAGCUUGUUGUGAUAACUUUUUCUAUUUGGAUGAUUUAACGUAUGAUGAAUUAUGCUAGAUUUCAGGAUAAGAUUGAUGUUUCUCGGGCUAUUUUGGUAAUUAUAGAUUUAACUUGUCUCGUGGGAAAUUCGUCUAAAGCUUCAUUGAAGAAUGAUUUGUUGGAUUUCAGCAUCAUUAAGUUUUUUGGUAUUAAUACUCAUAUUGGUAAAGUUUUUCGUCCUCUUCCUGUUAGAUGGGAGUUCCCUUUGCCAGAGUGGGUUAAAAUUAACACUAAUGAGGCUGCUAGGGGAUAUCCUGCUUUUGCUACUUGUUGUGGUAUUUUCCAUGGGAGUAUAGGAGAGUUUAUUGGUGGUUUCUCUGUAUAUCUUGAUGUUCAGACUACUCUGGUUGCGGAGUUUUAUGGAGUUCUAUAUGCUAUGGAGGAAGUUCAAAAGAUGGGGUUUACUAAUGUAUGGGUUGAAUGUGAUUUGACCUUGAUUUGUGUUGCUUUAAUGCUAGGACCACUAUUCCAUGGAUACUUCAUAAUUGGUGGAAUAUUUGUCUUAAUUGCUGCGGGAAAAUCAGGUUUAGGAUUACUCAUAUUUUUCGUGAAGGGAAUGUGUGUGCUGAUAAGUUGGCUAAUUUAUGAUUUAUUCAUAGAGAAUCAUUUCAUUGGUAUAAUAGGCUUCCAUCUAGUCUGUUCUUAUAAUUCUUUAUGAAUAGAUAUAAUUUGCCUAUGUAUCAAUUUUGUUAACAUAUGGGUUUUGAUGUAGUCCUCCCAUAUAUUUUUUUUUUGUAUUUUUUUCUUUUUAAUAAUAUUUUUUCCGUGUGAUGGCAGAUGAUUGUUGUUACGUGAGGUGUCAACAUAACUAAAAUGUCAAGUUGCAUAGUAAUGCCUAACAUGAAUUUUUUCUUUUAAAAAAAUGAAGUUUUUUUUUCAUAAAUCUCGCAAAACUAUUUUUCUUAAAGGGAUAGAAAUGUUUGCUACACUUGAUUUUUUUAUGUUCUACUUUUUAAUAAAAAGUUUAAUUUCGUUGGGUUAAAAUUAACUAUUUUAAUUGUAAAAGCCCUUUUAUACAAUUUAUUAACCAAACUUUCACUCCUUUAAACAAAUUGAAUUUUUUUACAUAAUCUAAUUUUAUUUAUAUUCAUCCAAAUACCACAUUUUACCUGCUUAUUUUUUCUUUUACUUCUAUCUUUUCUAUUUUGUUUUCAAGAAUUAACCAAACAAAACAAUGAUACAGGGCAACAAGGCAUGUGCUGGCACCAAAAUGGGGUCAUUAUUGUUGAGAGGUAGAAAGAUAAGCACUGGACAAUAAGUGUUUGGUUCAGCUGCAUAGUUAAAACUUGUGGUGCUGAUGAAAAAAGAAGGGGGUGAAAGGGAGAAAAUGAAGACCAAUAUAAAUGUCUUCUUCCCCAAUCAUGUAUCAAUAUCAGUGUUCUUCAGAAUGUGACACACGUGGCCCUAGGCUAACCUACCUCAUCAUUCAAUCAUCAAGGUUUCAAAUUCUUUAGAUUCACACAAUUUCAACUACCCAAGAAAAUUGGCAUGAGGCUUUUUCAUUUCACCACCAAAAUGUUUUUUUCUUUCUCAAAUUUUAAGGUUGCAAAAAUUGGAUUUGAGAAGAGUAUUUCUUCAUACAAUCCAAAAACAGUACAUCUUCUUAGAAUCACCUUUUCAAAAUAUUAAAGAUACAUUCUCAAAAGUUGAUCCCGACAUGGAUGAUAAUUUUACAAAAUUUUAUAAAUAUAGGAAGUUGAUUCCUUUGAUACGUGACCAUAUAGUAAUUACAUAUAAAACUACACUUAUGAUAAUGUUGUAGGUGGCAUAUGGUGGUUAGAACUUUUCAGAAUGGAAAACCAAUAAAAAAUUUGAUAAAAGAAAUUCGAUACUUGACUAAAACUAAAAGCUGUGGAUGAAUUAGAUUUUUUUAAGGACUCAACAAUUUGAUUUUGAUUUACAAUUUCAUACUUGGAAACCGAUUUCAAAUCAAAGAAAACUAAAACUAAAAUUAAUUAUUUAAUUAUUAUAUUAAUAUAUGAGAGAGGUGUGGGGAAGAUGAAAAUAUAAUGUAUUUAACUUGAUUUAUACUUAUAAAAUAUAUGAGAAAGAGUUGUCUUGAUAAUAUAAAUAAUUCAUUAUUAGCCUUUCGCAUAAAAAUGUUAACGCAAUAUUGAACAAACUAUAUGUAACGAGUUUGUCAAGUUUACGAGAAAUUUAUGAGAGAGUUGGAUAAUAAGAGUCGUUUCCUAUUUAUGCCAUAGUGUAUAGUCACUUGUUACUUGUUUGUUGUAAAAACACAUAGACAUUUUUGUGUUUUUAUAUUUUAUUCUGGUUGCUUUACUAAUACAAAAAGAAAGUUUUUCAAGACUUAGGAAAGGUAGAUAUUAAGAGUCAUCUACUAUUUAUGCCACAAUAUGUAAAUACAAUAUAACCAUCUUAGUCCUUUCUUGUUCUUUGUUUUAAAAACAUAGACACCAGCCUUUAUAUUUUAUUAUAGUUCCUUUGUUGAUAAAAAAGAAAUAGUUAGUGAGUAAAUAAAUUUUGUAAUACAAUACUUGAAGAUGUUGGAAUUAAAGAUCGCACUGAGCUAUAUUUGAUGUUUUCAAACUCUCAUGUAGAUUGAAGAUUCAUAUAAUUGAGAAUAAAGACUCUAAUUGUCUUAGUAUGUGUAUAUAUUUGAUGAUGAAAAUCAUUUAGUUUUGAAACUUUUGGCUAAGAAGAUAGACAGAGAUCGUGCUUUAACGAAGAUAUUAGAGAGUCUUUUUCUUCUUAGCCUUGUAUUUUAGGCCUAAGUAGAGUAGGAUGUAAAUAGAAAAGAGUAGGGUGCAAAAUAGUAAAAUAGGGUUGCAAAUAGAAAUGUAGGCAAGGAAGACAUUAAGGCAUUCUCUGCUUAAUGGAAAGGAUUUUACUCCAACGAAGGCAUGUCACUUGUCACUCUCCCAAUGGGGAGGACUUGCACCAAUAAGGUGGAGACACUUGUCACACUCUCAUUUGAUAGGCUUUCUCCUAUAAAUAGGAGUCUCUUGUACAUGUUUUUUAACUUUGAUUUGAGUAAUGAAAUGUUGUCCAAUUUGGAAGACACUUUUACUUGUUCAAAGUUCUCUCUACAGUUGUCUUCAUGCUAAAAAAAUUUCUAGACUCCUCCUAGUAGUAUUGGCCCAACCUCACCCUAGAAACUAAGUGUUUGCCUAACCUCACUUAGAUUCAUCCUCAUAAUUUUCAUUUCCUUCAAAAUUUAUACAAUUUUUCAUGCUUCUACAAUUGAGUCAUCAUUUGUAGAAGAUAUUCAAAUUAAAACAAUAGAAGAAAAAUAUCUACUAAUGAACAUGCAAGCUAGGAUUGUCUCAUUUGAUUUUGAUAUAAUUCGUUUGUAUAUAUUUCUUCCCAAGCUUAAUUGAUGCAAAAAAACUUCAACAAUUGUUUUUAAACUAUUUAGAACUUGUUAACAAUGUUAAGAGAAUUUUAAUGGGUUGAAUUAAUACUUUAAUUUGUUAAAAUGUUCUUAACUCAAGUCUUUACGAUUGAAGUGGAUAUUUUAACUGGUUGAUUUACUGAAUCAAUUGGUUAAAAUCACUUAAGAUUUUUAGAAGUUGAAAAAAUGUUUUUCUAUCAACUAUAACUUGUUCUUAGGAACUUGAACUUCUUUCAUUUUCAAAAAGGAUGGAGUUAAUUGGUUAAAAAUAACAGUUUCAGUUUUGAUUAAAUUGUUUUUGUUAAGUUAGCAGAUGAUCUAAUACCCAUCCCAACAAUCUCAUGAUAUUAGCAUCUAUAUGUUUUGAUGAUAACAAACAUAAGGUUUGUUGUGGUAUAACAAAACUCACUCAUCUAUAGAACAAGUCUAGACAAAAAUAAUAAGAGAAGAUCAAAAUUCACUAGAUGAGCAAGGCUCAUUAGACGAGCAAGACUCACUAAAGAAUGCAACAACAACAAAAAAUUUUGGACGAAACAAUGACACACACUCACAACAUCAAAUGAUCCAACCUUUUUUCUAUUCUCUAGAUGGUUAGAAUAUCCAAAGAGAAAAUUGGAAAUAAAGAAGUUGCGCAACAAAAUUCAUCGAUCAAUAGGCAUGUAAUUAGUGUAGAAAAUGUGUAAAAACUAGUGAAAAGUAUGCCAAAAGCUCUCCAACUCCAACUUCACCUAGAGAUAAUGAAGAAAAGAAGAAAUCUGCAGAAAUCUUGCAAAAAAAGGUUGAAAAACAAGCAAACAAUGAUGGAGCAAAAAGAGUCAAUCCGCAUAGCGUAUGAAGAAUCACUUAGUGGAUUGAGUACAGAGGACAAGCCUCAUGAAAGACACUCAAAACAUUAAGUGCUUCCACAUACGAUAAGCGGAUUGAGGCCAGAACAAUUGAAAUCUAGAGAAGAAAUGGAUGAGCGAAUUCUGAAAGACUGAGCGCAGAGCAUCUUUAACCAUGAAGAAAGCCCAAUUUCGCUAAGAAGGGGCUCAGAGAUACCUUCCACCAAAGUCUUCUCCCAAGAAUGUAGGUGGUAUGGUGAGAGAAGCUCCUUCAGUUUGAAAGUGUGGCUCCAUUCUUGCCAUGUCGGAUCUCUUUCCUUUAACGUCCAAUUCUUGACCAACUAAUCAAGUUCCACUAAGCAGAUUAUUGAUGUGAAGUGCAAACAAGUAUUCUUUCAACAAGCCACUCAUGGAUUAACUCAAGUAUUCUUUCAACAAGUCAGUCCUGACUUAACUCAAGUAUUCUUUCAACAAGCCACUAUUGGUUCAACCCAAAUAUUCUUUAAACAAGUCACCUCUUUGGCUCAACAUAAGUAUUCUUUGGAAAAGCCAACUUAGCUCAAAAUAAAUAAAAUUGUCUUUAUGAUCAACACACAAUAUUUUCUCACUAGAGAGUGUUUGUGUCUUUCGACAUUCUAGUUUUCUAAAGAUUGAACUCAAACUGUGUUCUUACAAUGCCUUAAGGAUACAAAAAUAUUUCAACAAGGUUUCAACAUUUCGGAAUAUCGGUUCUUCUUUUUCUUCUCUUCAAAACAUGUCUUUAUAUAGUCUCGAAGAAUGUAAAUGUUGCAUUCCCUUUUUUGGUUGUUGAGUUGCUUUGAACUCAUUUCAAUGUCUUAUUUUUUUUUUCUUUUAUCGUCGAUUGAGCUUGAACAUUAAGAAACAUUAAAUGUGCUUCACGCAACAUCCUUGAUAGUUAAUCAUACUUAUCUUCCUCGGUAGGUUAACCUUUUGCACCAAACUAUGGUAAAAUGCACACCGUACUGGAUGGAUAGCUAGGUCAGGGUUAAAAUAUGCUUGUGUCAGGAUAAUUGGAGUGCAAUACAACUUUAGCUAAAACUCCAAAAGAUUUUGAUGUUGACUUGUCUUGAGUGUGGAUCCUCUUGGCAACACUUGAUGCAGACAUUCCCUACAAUAGAAACUUAAGCUACGAAAAUAUUAUUUAUGUUUAUGUUAGCUUUAAGAUCUAUCUCGUGUUCAUCAACACCUUAUCAAACGAAGUGGAACAUCUCUAGAAUACUACUAUCAUCUGUUUGACAAAGCACUUGCACUUGCAUGAUCUGCUCUUUUCCUUCGACGUAUGUCAAACACACUUGCAACAUGAUUCCUACUUUAUUGGUUUAAGCACUCAGUUAAAAUAACAAGGUUCUUGCAAUUUUAUUCUAACAUGCUUCCAAUUUAAUAUUUUCUAGGUCUUGUAAUUGAAGUAUCUUAUUGUUUCCAACUUCAUCAAAUGAUAAUUUACAUGCUUUCACAGCCGAAAAUAUUCUAUAAUCUAUUUGAACUGGUAGAUGCAAGCUUUACCAAAACGAACACUAUAAGGAGACAUUCCAAAGGUGUUUUCUAAGCUAUCGUAUGUACCCAAAGAACAUCAUCUUGUUUUAUACCCAAUCUUUUUUAUUGGGAUGCACUAUGUUCUCCAUGAUAGGCCUUUAAUACUCUUAUUAGAUAUUUUUGAUUGUCAAUUUCUUUGGUGAUGAUAUGUUGUAAAAAUUCUAUGUACAACCUUAUCGUAACAGUGAGUGUCUCGAUGACUAAGCACUGAAGAUUGCAAACUUCCGAAGUAGGAGAUUUGAUCUGGAUUGAUUUGCUAAAGGAAUGCCAAGCUAUCCCCGAAAGCUAAUGAUCCAUUAUUCAGAGUUAUGCAGAAAAUUAAGACUAUUGCCUAUAAAGUAGAGUUGCCAGAUUCCUGUGGAAUCGAUGCAUAAAGGAUAAUAUUGUUUUAGAGGCUAAAGAUGAAUUAGUGCCAUAAGAAGUGUAACUUAGAAUUUGUAGUUUUUUAAGGUAGAGUGAAAAGAUAUUUUCAAUUUGCUUCAUUACAUAGAAUGGAUGGCUCAUGUGCUGGUUCCGUUACCAAAUUUCAUUGGUUUUGCUUGAAUAAGGUGGCGCUAAGAGGAGAGAGAGUAUUUUGGUACAUGGUUUGAAAUGGGAAAGAAUGAAUAAAGGAGAUCUAAGUUGGUUGUCCAAAAAUGAAGGAUUCAUAUAAGGUUUCUGUCAGUAAAUUGGUACGUGCUAUCCUAUUGAUAUUUUUGGCAUAUAAUUUAUCUUAACCAAGUUGCAAUGUUAGCAAAAUCAUGUAGAUAUUUUUUUCAUUUGGUGGGGACUACGAAUGAGAAAAAUCAAUACAUGACCAAGUUGUGCUCUAAAGAAAGAGAUCCAGAAACAUUCUCCCUUCAACUAUUAAACCAAUUUCAUCUAAAACACUAUUUCUGUUCUUUAGUAAUAAUCAUAAACUUUCACAACCAAAAUUUGAAGUUAUUGGCAGAAAAUCAUAUUUUGCUAGAUUAAAUUAUGAGGGUCACACCCUUUGAACCUUUUAUGUAAUACUUGACUUUUGAUUUGUGCUUUAUUACUGUUAUCUCAUGCAAUGCACUUUUAAGGUAAGGUUGUUGUACAUUGUUUGGUCGAGUGCAUUAGUUAUGACCAAAUUAUAUCUUCGAUGUAUGCUUGGCCAUUAAUCAACCAAGCAUGAUAAGCCCAUCAUCUACCAACCCUUCUACACCAUAUACACAUUUUGCCUAUCUUUGCUACAGUUACUUUCAAACAUAUCUUAACAAAUACUCUAAUGAACAUUUUGAGUUUUACUAAAAGGACUCCAAGGUGAAUGAAGCAUGAUUUUUAGCUACCCACCAAAAGGGAUAAAACUGUCAGUUGAUAAGGUUCUCUUGAUAUUUUUCCAAUACAAGUUCGCCUUUAAAAUAUAAAACAUUACUGUAAUAAAGGGGCAACUCUUACAUGCACGAGUAGUAAAAAAAACAUGCAUGAGAAAUAAUGAUCACAUAAUAUGUCAGGCAAAUAUGGAAUGGGAAGAAAGGGCAAACUACUCACAAAUAAUAUCAACUCCACCACCAUCACACAUUUACGUUCUUCCAAGGAAGAGAUAAGAUAAAGGAGCCUCCUCCACGUGUCACUUCCACAUGGUACCAAACGAUAAGGCUACCUUUCAAAAUUUUCCUCACUCGUGUGGUCAAUAUGCUGUAAUGUCAUCACUUAUAGAAUCCAACGGUUGUAACAUCUCAGCAACCAAUCCCUUCCAUUUCACACCAUUGGGUUAGUACUCCACAAAUCACACUAUUAUAUAUAGCCAGUUUAAGCAGAAGCUAGGCAAUAUAGCAGCAGAAAGAAGUAAUUCAGAAGUUAGGAAAUGGCUUCUUCAAUGAUCUCCUCCCCCGCUGUGACGACCGUUAACCGUGCCGGUGCCGGUGCCGGUAUGGUGGCUCCUUUCACUGGGCUGAAGUCCCUGGGAGGGUUCCCAAGCAGGAAGAUGAACAAUGAUAUUACUUCCGUUGCGAACAACGGUGGAAGAGUGCAAUGCAUUCAGGUAAGAGAAGAUAUUUAUGUGAUAGGAAAAUGUGAAGAUUUGGAAGUUGGUUGGUUAGUUAGUUUGUUAACUGAAUUAUGAUGGAAAUGAAAUGAGUAGGUGUGGCCAACAGUUGGGAAGAAGAAGUUCGAGACUCUUUCGUACCUGCCACCCCUGACAAAAGAACAAUUGGCAAAGGAAGUAGACUACCUUCUUCGGAAAGGAUGGGUUCCGUGCUUGGAAUUCGAAUUGGAGGUGAAUUUGUUGAAUUGAAUUGAAAGGGUUAUUAUGGUUAAUUUAUGAAUGAAUGAAUGAAUGAAUGAAUGAUGUUGAUGUUUGUGUUUGAUGUUGAUGUGUGUUGAUAGCAUGGUUUCGUGUACCGUGAACACAACAAGUCACCUGGAUACUAUGAUGGAAGGUACUGGACGAUGUGGAAGCUGCCUAUGUUUGGGUGCACUGAUUCUUCUCAGGUGUUGAAGGAGCUUUACGAGGCUCAGACUGCUCAUCCCGAUGGUUUCAUCCGUAUCAUUGGAUUUGACAACGUUCGUCAAGUGCAGUGCAUCAGUUUCAUUGCCUACAAGCCACCAGGCUACUAAGUCUCCAAAAUUUCCCAUUUCAUUUUGCUUUUUUGUUGCCCAGAUUAUCCUCAUCCGAAAC